AAGAUGGGGCAAAAAGGGGGGGGCAAGUAUGCAAAUAACCUCACAAGCUCAAAACGCACAGAUCAUAGCACCCCAAACGGUGCCGUUUAAAAUGUAGUACAAAAGCCAUUUUUUUGAACCAAAAUUCAUUUGGUUUCUGCCAUUUUAGAAAUAGAAUGUGGCAACCCUUUUUCCCCAAUCUGCUAGGGCUUUCACCCUAUUUUGGUGCACCAAAAAUAGAGGGUCAUCGGCACCCCCAUGCCGUCGCCUCCGGUGCCUAUCCACGACGAACCCAGGUGCGUGAUCGAGCGUGCCACUGAAGUGGCAUGGUGGAGAGGCACACGACACGGAGGGACGUGAGACGUAUGGCGUCUGAAAGCUUGCUUGUUGGCUGAAACGGCGCAGAGGGUUUGCUGGCUAACGACGGAAGGGCAUAGCUAGGGUUUCUUUGGUUGAAACCCUAAAACUUUGGGCCUAUCGGGCCCCUGUAUCUUGGGUCUGUAAAUCAGGCCCUUUUUUUAAUUUUAUUUUUAUACAUAUAUGGGCCUGGGCUAAAAAUUGGGUCUACACACAUCAUAGCUUCAAGGAAGUAUCACUCAACUUUAUUGUAUGUAUGCCUUAGACAUGUCUAGUUUCACAACCAUUUCAAUCAUUACAAAUGUUUUCAAACUCAACGAUUGAUAUGAUCUGUAAUAAGAUAUAUUGUUAUAAAAAUAUGUUAAUUUUUUGAAA
Molecule: long non-coding RNA, 711 nt
Organism: Gossypium arboreum
Lineage: Eukaryota; Viridiplantae; Streptophyta; Magnoliopsida; Malvales; Malvaceae
Exons: 2
Source: RefSeq, a predicted model, not a curated record